RNAcentral lists this ribosomal RNA (491 nucleotides) under uncultured bacterium. Its description in RNAcentral is "partial 16S ribosomal RNA". It matches the Rfam family "Bacterial small subunit ribosomal RNA", at positions 30 to 507 of the family's 1533-position model. The record is from RNAcentral.
AGUGGACGCUGGCGGUAGGCCUAACACAUGCAAGUCGAACGGCAGCACAGUAAGAGCUUGCUCUUACGGGUGGCGAGUGGCGGACGGGUGAGGAAUACAUCGGAAUCUACUUUUUCGUGGGGGAUAACGUAGGGAAACUUACGCUAAUACCGCAUACGACCUACGGGUGAAAGCAGGGGAUCUUCGGACCUUGCGCGAUUGAAUGAGCCGAUGUCGGAUUAGCUAGUUGGCGGGGUAAAGGCCCACCAAGGCGACGAUGCGUAGCUGGUCUGAGAGGAUGAUGAGGCACAGUGGAACUGAGAGACGGUACAGAGACCGACGGGAGGCAGAAGUGGCGAAGAGUGGAAGAUGGGCGGAAGACUGAACCAGGCAUACAGGGUGGGUGAAGAAGGCCUUCGGGUUGUAAAGCGCUUUGUUGGGAAAGAAAAGCAGCAGGUUAAUACCACGCGGUUGUGACGGUAACCAAAGAAUAAGCACCGGCUAACUUCGUG